This 459-nucleotide ribosomal RNA is filed under the name uncultured bacterium. Its description in RNAcentral is "partial 16S ribosomal RNA". It matches the Rfam family "Bacterial small subunit ribosomal RNA", at positions 338 to 795 of the family's 1533-position model. The record is from RNAcentral.
CCUACGGGGGGCAGCAGUGAGGAAUAUUGGUCAAUGGGCGGGAGCCUGAACCAGCCAAGUCGCGUGAAGGAAGAAGGUACUUAGUAUUGUAAACUUCUUUUGUCGGGGAACAAAGGCGGAGACGCGUCUCCGGAUGAGUGUACUCGAAGAACAAGCAUCGGCUAACUCCGUGCCAGCAGCCGCGGUAAUACGGGGGAUGCGAGCGUUACCCGGAUUUAUUGGGUUUAAAGGGUGCGCAGGCGGGAGAUCACGUCAGCGGUAAAAUGUCGGGGCUCAACCCCGGCCGGCCGGUGAUACUGGUUGUCUAGAGUAGGAGAGAGGUAUGCGGAAUUCGUGGUGUAGCGGUGAAAUGCAUAGAUAUCACGAAGAACUCCGAUUGCGAAGGCAGCAUAACGGCUCCAUACUGACGUUGAGGCACGAAAGCGUGGGGAUCGAACAGGAUUAGAUACCCCUGUAGUC